This is a long non-coding RNA of Gossypium arboreum, 562 nucleotides long. RefSeq lists it as uncharacterized. The record is from RefSeq and is a predicted model, not a curated record. NCBI's taxonomy places the organism in Eukaryota, Viridiplantae, Streptophyta, Magnoliopsida, Malvales, Malvaceae. The transcript has 2 exons.
AGAACAAUGCCUCACUCCUUGCUUUCCAAACCCAUUUCCAGUCUGUAGACAUUUUGAUCCGGAUUUGGAGGAUCCAAUCCCAUCACAUGGUGGCAGGCCCAACUCCAAGUAUCAACCGCAUAGGGAUACUGGCAAACUUACCCACAUUUCCCUUAACGAGGGUCAUAGAAAAAUGAGGACUAUCCCUAUUAUGGUAAAAGCCACCUGGAAUCAGUGGAACAUUUGUUCCGUCACCGUCUUGUGAGUAAUAGGCUCUGGAAAGCUUUGGCUAGUAACAGUCAUCAUGAACCCGGCCCCGCCCGGAAUAACUCUACCUGUUCCUAUAUUCCUUCAAGUCUCCUGGAAACCGCCUGCGGUCUUUCUUGCUUAAGUUUACCAAAGUUUCACUCGAGUAGAGAGGAAUCAAUGUGCGGAUAAGUUGGCUCGAUUAGGGAGCGGCUUUCGAUAGGAUUAUUCAAACACCUUUUGUGUAUUUGUAGGGUUUCCCUUCUUUGUAUUAAGGCAUUAUUGAAAUUUGAUGCCUAUUGUUGUUCUUUGUAUCAAUCCGUAUUUUGAUUUUUAA